Molecule: ribosomal RNA, 450 nt
Filed under: uncultured bacterium
Lineage: Bacteria
Description: partial 16S ribosomal RNA
Rfam family: Bacterial small subunit ribosomal RNA
Source: RNAcentral
CCUACGGGUGGCUGCAGUAGGGAAUAUUGGACAAUGGGUGCAAGCCUGAUCCAGCCAUGCCGCGUGCAGGAAGAAGGCCUUCUGGGUCGUAAACUGCUUUUGCCGGGGGAUAAAAUAGCUAUGCGUAGCGAAUUGAAGGUACCUGGUGAAUAAGCCACGGCUAACUACGUGCCAGCAGCCGCGGUAAUACGUAGGUGGCAAGCGUUGUCCGGGUUUAUUGGGUUUAAAGGGUGCGUAGGCGGUCAAUUGAGAAAUACGGCAGCUUAACUGUCGAGGUGCCAUUGAUACUGCUUGACUUGAGUACUGAUGAGGUAGGCGGAAUGGACGGUGUAGCGGUGAAAUGCUUAGAGAUCGUCCAGAACACCGAUAGCGAAGGCAGCUUACUAAGGAGUAACUGACGCUGAGGCACGAAAGUGUGGGGAUCAAACAGGAUUAGAUACCCUAGUAGUC